Long non-coding RNA from Sus scrofa (pig), 2544 nucleotides. RefSeq lists it as uncharacterized. NCBI's taxonomy places the organism in Eukaryota, Metazoa, Chordata, Mammalia, Artiodactyla, Suidae. The record is from RefSeq and is a predicted model, not a curated record.
UUUUCAUUGCUUCUUCCAUUUAUGCCCAUUGAUAUGUUUGUAUCAAAGGACAUAUAUUUACUGCAUAAGCAGUGUUAUUGAUGUCAUUUCCAGAAAAAAAAUGUGGCAGAUACAGGAAUGUUGGGAACCUGACAUGAACCCCCACUCAUGCUUGAGAGCUCUGGCUUUGGGGUCAGGCAGGCCUGUUUCAGACUCUGAUGGCCACUUACUAACUGUGUGUUCGUGGGCAACUCCUGAAUAUUUUUUGAGCCUCAGUUUCUUCAUCUGUAAAACGGGAUCAAUAAUACUUACCUUGCAGGGUCCUCUGCAAACGAAAGGAGAUAACGAAUGUGAAGCCUUUAAAACACUCAGCCGAGGCGAAGGCCACAUGAAAGAUAUGCACGUGCCAAGUGUUCAGGGAACUGCAAGCAACUUCACAAGCCUGGAUCUGGCCACACACGUGUCAGCCAAGGCCUCUUACCUUCGACCAGCUGCCGAGACCGAUGUGUUUUCUUUUCCGAGCCUCUCAGAUCCGCUCCACGCAGCCCGGGGGGUGUGGGCCGCGGGGAGGACAGUGGUAAAUAUCACGUCAACUCCGGAGGCACAGCCAAGGUUGAUGACUGAGUGUCGGGAUGACCGAUCAAGAGUCAGAAUGUGAUACAAUGUCCAGAAGGGGCACAGCCAUCUUGCAAGGAGAAGACAAAGUCACGUGUCAAGGAGAGCAGAGCCAAUGGGUAGAAGAAGCCUGAGACCCACUGACACCCCAGAGAUACUGCAGAUGCCCCAGGCUGUCUCCAGACUUCCUGUCCCGUGGUAAGAAGCACCCCCUGCAGGUAUGCACUUUACAGGCAACCAAUUCACUCCCCGAUUUGGCAACAUUUUUCUAGCCACUUAAUGAAAUUGCUCUGAGCACUUUUAUUUACAGGACUGGUUCCCCAAAGGACCAUAUCGGAAGAAAAUUCCCUAUAUUAUGGACACAAUACUAUGGAGAGGGUUACAUUUAUUACAUGUUUAGCACUGCGCUAGACAGAAUGGGGGAGGGAGGACACAGGAGGAUAAAACAAGGACCUUACCCUCUGGGAAAUUACCAUCUACGUAGAGACAAGACUGACCUUUAAGAAACAACCCUGGACACUUGAGGACAGUAUGAUUAAGGGCCAGGAGCCAGCGUGCACUAAGCGGAGUAGCAGUUCAUGUAAGGGGGAGGGGGAGGUCCCCGAAGAAAAAGCAAGGGGAACGUGAUAGCAACCCUGAGAACACACUCGCCAUCCCUACCCCUUCACAUGUUGGGAUUCUAGAUCAAUGACUGGAAUACAGACAUGGAAGCUGUUCCCCUGGGUAAAUGAAGACAGCAUAUGAAGGAAAGCCAUUUUAACUAGGAGGCCAGUUCAGAAGUUUUGAAUUCAGCAGAAAUUGAGCCCUCUCAUAUCAACAUGUCAGAUUCAGAGCCUUACAACAAUCCACUAGCAUCCCGUUUACCUUAUUAGUUACCAGACUAUUUCAUAUCGACAUGAUAUGGAGACUAAGUGUACGUCCCCUUAAAAGAGAGCUUUAAAAAACCCUUCCUGUGGAAGGAAUGUAGGUUAAUAGGUCACACGUGAAGAGGGGUGCUGGCUUUCUCUUCUGCAUUUCUGGACAAGAAAACUGCUGAAAUCGUUAGCAACUGCCAUUCAUGUUUUCUAGCAUUCAGUUGCUGUUACUUGGCUGCAGUGGGUGUGGGUAGCUCUCCCACGUCGGUAACGCCCACCUGAAUUCGUUUUUCUAGGCCUCUUUAUGGGGAUUUGAACUUACUUCCUAAAAGUGUUUCAAGUUAGUGAUCUUAUUGAUAAAUCAAAAAGGAAUAAAGGCAUGCAAGUACAAUACGGAUAACAUUUCUAUUUUAUGUUUUUAACCCCCCUUUUCUCCAGAACCUAGGAGAACACACUUGGCGUUUCUUCUGCUCCUUUCCUUCCUUUUUGAAAACUCCUUCUUUUCUUCCCUUGUUUACCCCUGGGCCGUCCAGUUCUACUGCCAGGGAACCUGGCUUGGUAGUUUCAGAGAUUCCCGGGGUUGAGCAGCUAGUGGAUUCUCUCACAUCUGAGUGGAGGGAGACUAGAGUUGGGGGGAGUAAGAAGUACAGUAUUUGUAGAAGGAGAUGAGAAGAUUCUGCAGGCAGAAUGUUAACGGCUUUAAGAAGGGCCUAAGACCAGUCAAGGGCACGACUCUAAUCCUCUCAGGGCUGCUAACCCUCAACUCUGCAGCGCACAGAUGGACCUCUCAAAACCAGGUAAGGCGAAGGUAUCGGGUGGGAACCCAAAGGGACUGCAGUGGAUACAUCGGAAGCAGACAUGAUGCAGAGACCGGUUGGAGAAACUCUGCCCAAAGUGUCCCUGUCUCUUCCCUCCGGGAGGGACGCUGGCUAAAGCCUGGUCCGAAGCUGGAGGCGGAGGAUCUAGGGUGAGAGCCACCUCCUCCGCAAUCCCCCGCCCCUCGGCGCCGGGGCGCCGCGCCCCUGCGCUCCCCCAUUGGCUGAGGCGCUCGCCAAUCCAGGAGAGGCGGCCGGGCGAGCGGGCCCUGGUUGGUGGA